UGCAGUCAUUAAUGAUUAGGUGGGGGAGCUGGUGAGUCAUUCAUAGUCUGUGGCAAGUUAAUCAUCAAAAUGAAGACUGAGCAAAGGCUGACUGGGGAGAGGAGUCUAAUGAGGCCAGUUCCAGUCAUUGGGAUGAGCCCACAAGGUGACCUGGAAAGAACCUAGACUUGGGUGUGAGCAAAGUGCCUUCUCCUGGCACAUCCAUCACCAUAACACAACUAGAGCUCCUCCAAACCCCAAUGCGCUAUAGGGCAGGACAAAUCCAGGGUCCUGGGGGGACACUGCCCUGCAGAGUGCCACCAGCACCCACAUGGUGAAGGGGUCUUCCCACAGGACACAGAGGCUGAGUGCAAUGGGCCAGGCGUUGCAGUGAUUGAGCUGAGUGGGGAGGAAGGUGGCACACCUGCUGAANNNNNNNNNNNNNNNNNNNNNNNNNNNNNNNUGGGACUGCCCCAGCCCGACUUCCAUGCUGUCAUCCUGGACUUCAGUCCCGUCAACUUCGUGGACACAGUCUCCAUCAAAAUCCUGAAGAAUGUAAGGGAUCAAGGGUGGUGCAGGUGCAGGACAGCCAAAUGGCAGCUGCUCAUCCCUUUUUCCUGACAUGAUUUUUACCAUUUGCAGAUCUUUAGGGAUUUCCAUGAAAUAGAAGUGGAUGUCUUUGUUGCCAGCUGCCCAGCGUCUGUUCUCGCCCAGCUGGAGCGGGGCAACUUCUUCAGCUCAACCAUCACCAAGCACUGCUUCUUCCCCUCGGUGAAUGACGCCGUGCUCCACAUCGAUGGGGGGAGGCGCCCAGCCCCGGCGAACCUCAGCACCAAAAUGUAGCCCUGCAGAAGAGACAGCGGAGGAGCAGGGCCGUGCUGCCGGGAGGGCUUCACCGCUCCGUGCCCGGGGCCUGGAGCCUCUGUGGGACAGCGCGGGGCGCUUGGAGCCGGCCCGCCCCACGCCUGGG
RNAcentral lists this long non-coding RNA (949 nucleotides) under Chrysolophus pictus (golden pheasant). Its description in RNAcentral is "lncRNA (ENSCPIG00010004048.1)". Lineage: Eukaryota; Metazoa; Chordata; Aves; Galliformes; Phasianidae. The record is from RNAcentral.